This is a non-coding RNA of Cricetulus griseus (Chinese hamster), 756 nucleotides long. Lineage: Eukaryota; Metazoa; Chordata; Mammalia; Rodentia; Cricetidae. The record is from RefSeq and is a predicted model, not a curated record.
CUGCUUCACAAUACAAUCAAAAGUAAACUCUACAAUGAGAUCCCCACUGUUAGCGACAGCCCUACUCGAAGCUAUUUCCUCCUCCAAUUCAACAGGCUCUUCCCAAUAAGGUCCACUGAAGGCUUGUCUAAGAACAUUUGAGCAAUGUGUCAGAAGCCGAUGCCUCAUUUUUCUCUCUUCCUUCAGGAUGGCAACUUUAAUGAGGACAAACCCCAGGAAAAUCUCUGAUAACUCCCAACAACCUGUUCAUGUUCGGGUUUACCACUAUGAAGAAUCCUAUGGCUAAGCAAGUAUUCAGGCAUCAAGUACAAAGGACAAGCACAUACGAAUGCUACAUUGCCAAGAAAUUGUUCUAUCCUCCUGGUAGGUAUCAUUCAAAUGCUGGAAACCUGAGAAUACAUUUCCUCAAAUUCUUUGGCAGUUAGGACAAAACAGGUACUGAUAACCAAGAUGCCCAUUUGGAAGGCAGAAAUGAGGAGGAGGCUGAUUCUAGGUUCCAUGGCUUGCUAUGUUCCAUGGCUAGCAAAAGUUCUUACAUGGAUGUUUAAUAUUUUACAGAAGAACCCAGUGGCACAGGCUUGAGGGGUACCCAGGCUGGUCUUGGCAGCCCUGCUCUGCAUGGAGCCAUCUAGUCACUUAUUCUAGCAGCAGAAUCAGUUGUCACCAGUGGGAAGCUAAGUGUUUCUGUUUCCUGUUUAAAGGCAUGAGUGAUGUAACUAGAAAAGACAGGGACUCAAAUAAAGCCUAGAAUUAGAA